Molecule: ribosomal RNA, 492 nt
Filed under: uncultured bacterium
Lineage: Bacteria
Description: partial 16S ribosomal RNA
Rfam family: Bacterial small subunit ribosomal RNA
Source: RNAcentral
AGUGAACGCUGGCGGUAGGCCUAACAUAUGCAAGUCGAACGGCAGCACAGUGAGAGCUUGCUCUUACGGGUGGCGAGUGGCGGACGGGUGAGGAAUACAUCGGAAUCUACUUUUUCGUGGGGGAUAACGUAGGGAAACUUACGCUAAUACCGCAUACGACCUACGGGUGAAAGCAGGGGAUCUUCGGACCUUGCGCGAUUGAAUGAGCCGAUGUCGGAUUAGCUAGUUGGCGGGGUAAAGGCCCACCAAGGCGACGAUCCGUAGCUGGUCUGAGAGGAUGAUCAGCCACACUGGAACUGAGACACGGUCCAGACUCCUACGGGAGGCAGCAGUGGGGAAUAUUGGACAAUGGGCGCAAGCCUGAUCCAGCCAUACCGCGUGGGUGAAGAAGGCCUUCGGGUUGUAAAGCCCUUUUGUUGGGAAAGAAAAGCAGCAGGUUAAUACCCCGCUGUUCUGACGGUACCCAAAGAAUAAGCACCGGCUAACUUCGUG